Long non-coding RNA from Daphnia pulicaria, 532 nucleotides. RefSeq lists it as uncharacterized. NCBI's taxonomy places the organism in Eukaryota, Metazoa, Arthropoda, Branchiopoda, Diplostraca, Daphniidae. The transcript has 2 exons. The record is from RefSeq and is a predicted model, not a curated record.
GACUUAGAAAAGUCAUCAUACAGCAACAUUUCCUAUAGUAACUACGCCUCGCGGUGCUGUUGCAUUCUUGUCUAAAGCGUUCACUGGACGUGCCAGAGACGUAGAUACUGUUAGAGAAUCUGGGUUACUAGACUUUAUCGAACCUGGUGAUGAAUUUUUGGCAGAUAGGGGAUUCAUCAAUGAAGUGAUUUCACUUCUUUAUGGGUUAAAGUACAUAUGCCUUCUUAUAAAGGAAAAAGGGUCCAAUUACCAGAAAAAGAGACGGAAAGAAGUAGAAUAAUAGUUAACGAACGAAUUCAUGUUGAACGCGUAAUAGAUUCUAACAACAACACCUUCAUCUAUAAAAUAUUUGUAACUUGCUGCUGCCUUAUGAAUGCACAACCAACAAUAAUUCCACAAUAUUAAGUUGAUGUGACACUUGUAAUUGUUAUGUUCAUCUUUCUCUGUAUUUUUGGCCAAUUAACUCAUUUUUUAACAUAAGGAACGAAUUGCUGUUAACAUGUAAUUACAAUAAAUUUGAAUUGAUUGGUUG